UACGUAGGGGGCAAGCGUUGUCCGGAAUCACUGGGCGUAGAGAGUGCGUAGGCGGUUGUGUAAGUCUGGAGUGAAAGGCCAAGGCUCAACCUUGGGAAUGCUUCGGAAACUGGAUGACUUGAGUGCUGGAGAGGCAAGGGGAAUUCCACGUGUAGCGGUGAAAUGCGUAGAUAUGUGGAGGAAUACCAGUGGCGAAGGCGCCUUGCUGGACAGAAACUGACGCUGAGGCACGAAAGCGUGGGGAGCAAACAGG
This 253-nucleotide ribosomal RNA is filed under the name uncultured bacterium. RNAcentral's name for it is "partial 16S ribosomal RNA". It matches the Rfam family "Bacterial small subunit ribosomal RNA", at positions 524 to 776 of the family's 1533-position model. The record is from RNAcentral.